RNAcentral lists this ribosomal RNA (55 nucleotides) under Aeromonas veronii. The record is from RNAcentral. RNAcentral also lists the same sequence under 3 other names. Lineage: Bacteria; Pseudomonadati; Pseudomonadota; Gammaproteobacteria; Aeromonadales; Aeromonadaceae.
CCUGGCGGCCAUAGCGCCGUGGAACCACCUGAUCCCAUGCCGAACUCAGAAGUGA